Long non-coding RNA from Diorhabda carinulata, 2254 nucleotides. RefSeq lists it as uncharacterized. Lineage: Eukaryota; Metazoa; Arthropoda; Insecta; Coleoptera; Chrysomelidae. The record is from RefSeq and is a predicted model, not a curated record. The transcript has 2 exons.
GCAGUUACUCAAUAGUGCAUCGAUGUUACAAUUGGAGUGAUUGCGAUAAUGCUUGAAUUGAAUCAUUGAUACUAUUAUAAUUAAGUGUACUCUAUAGGGUAAACAACGCAAUAACUAUAUAAAGAACUAAUUAAAAGCGUUAAUACUGAGUAAAUAUUAGAACGAAAACGAAACGAUAUUUGGAAGGAUGAAGAGCUUUUAUGCAAAUGCAAAGGCAAACUUGUUCAGUAUGCAUCACUGGGAAAAAUAUUAUAUGACGGGUCGUAAAUAUUUUAUGAUGCCCUGAAGUUAAUCGUAUGUCGUUUUCACGAUACCUUCGUAAACGUGAUGAAGCCGGUGUAAAUCACGAUGAAAGCAAAUUCAGCAUAGGUUAUAUUGUUCAAAAUAAAGUUUUCCCUAUGGUGCAAAAGAGGUACGAAAGCUGGCAUUUGAUCUGAUAACUAAGUGCAUCAUAAAGCGACCUGUUUCUUGGUAUGAGAAUCAGAUGGCUGGUGAGGAAUGGUUCCAUUCAUUCAUGUAUAGAAACCCGUCCCUCUUUGUACGCGUAGCACAGGCUAAUAAAACAAAUGUGAAAGUUUUUUUUGAUGACUUGUAAACUGUUUAUGAUAGACAUGUAUAUGAGCACCAGGUUGUGGCAAAAUGUGGCAUUCGGCAUGUUUCAGCUGUUACUUCAGCUGAACGUGGCUCAUUUUGUUUGUGCAGUUAAUGCUUUGGGUAACGCGAUUCUUUUUUUUUAUAUUUCCGCGCCAGCAAAGACACAGGCUGUGUUUACAAAUGAGACUGGUACUGUCCAGGUAUAGCCACGUGGUUGAAUUAGCUAAGGCAGCUUCACAAAAGCAUGGAGUUUUCUUCAAGACCAUAAACCAAAUACUCCGCAACAGCUUCAAAUCCUCUAGAAGGCGUAGAUGCGUUCAUCUUUGGAGUAUUACUUACACAUUUGAAGCUCGGCUCUCGAAUAUACCCUGAGGAUGCUCGACUCAAUACAGAAGAGAAAUGCGACUUACAGGCGAUCCAGAGUUGACCAGAAACCUGGAUAGGUCAGAGUAUAGAAUACUCUGUUCUACCAAUACUACUAUGGCAGAUGCUCUUCCGAACUAUCCCAAAAUAACACCAUCUAGAGCAGUAUUUGCGAGACCUACUCGACACGCAGACGUAGCUCAUGAACACCGAGUUCGCCUGCAGACGCCCAGAACGUCAAUUUAUCGGGACUCCUUUCUUUAGUGAAGUGCAAGCCUUUGAAUAUUUUGAGAAAUUUCCUAGUGCUCUCUAAUACAAAAGAUCUUACAAAUGCUGGACAAUCAUCUAUCCUAUGUUCAUGUCAAGCUAGUGCAAAGAAAAUGGCAUCACUCUGUUGUCAUUUUCUCCGCACUAUUCAAAAAUUCCGUAAAUACUGCUUGUGACGGAAGGAUACGAUGUUAUCCUGGCAAGACCAUGUCUAUUUACGACAUACCAGGUAUUAUUAAAAUUGCUAUGCAUCAGUCACAAGCGAAUUUUCAAACAGGUUUCAGUACAACUUUGACUUUUCACCAUUUUUUGUAACGGAUAGACCAAACUCGGAUUCAAAGGUAAACAUUCCAACAGCCAUGGCAUCAAUAAUCAAAUGUUGCCAGUUUGAAAUGAUUUGGGUAUCUUUGAGUCCAAUUAUACAUUUUACUUUUUCACCUGAAAUAGUACAGGUUCAGUGGAUUGUUUCAAACAUGAAGAAAAAGAAAGGAGUUUGAUGACUAAACAGGUAAAGAAAAAUCUAACUGAACUAAAAGAAAAUAAUAAAGGAAAAGAAAAAACCAACACCCAGGAAAGAAAGAUUUCACAAUCGUCAUCCGAUGAAGAAGACUAGUUCGUGUAUGCGUAUAUUCUGAAAGUAAGGUUGGCGAAAAAUGGAUCAAGUGCCAUGGAAUAUGUGGACUUUGGUCUCACGUAGAGUGCACAGGUAAUAGUUACCAUUACAUUUUAUCGCAACUGUGAUGAUGAAUGUAACUAGAUCUCAGUUUGGAAAUAUUAUUAUUUUACUAUAUAUUAUUAACUAUUAUUAUUUUAGUUUAUUAUCAUUGUUAUAAGUUAUAGUGAAACUUUACAAUCACCUACAGUAAAUUUAUUUAACGUUUUGACUGAUUCGAGGAAGUUGUUACAGUACCUUAUUAAUUAUCAGAUCUCAGAUUUUAGUUUAGGUACUUGUUAUAUAAAUGUUAACUUUUUUAGAAGAAGUUGAUAUUUUGUUAUAGUUGAUAUUUUUAGCAAUAAAAAUAACUAUUUU